Molossus molossus (Pallas's mastiff bat) is the source of this 91-nucleotide small nucleolar RNA. RefSeq annotates it as small nucleolar SNORD12/SNORD106. The transcript has a single exon. NCBI's taxonomy places the organism in Eukaryota, Metazoa, Chordata, Mammalia, Chiroptera, Molossidae. The record is from RefSeq and is a predicted model, not a curated record.
GCUGGUGAAAAUGAUGACUUGACUUUUUUCCCCAUCAGAUCGACCAUGUUGAGAUCUCUGAACACUUGCCAGUUACUUCUGAUACACCGGC